CCGGUUUAGCCCGUCUUCCAAGGACCAGUACCGACGAUCCACAAACCCCCCAGGGAAGCCAAGGAGCCCAUCAAAGCGCAUCUGCAUCUGCGGGGACAGAGCGGAGGGAGGCGUGUUGUCUAGAUGAUUGACUCAUUCUCAGGCCAAUCGUCGUGGAAGAUUCUGGAGGUUCCCAGAGACCUGAGAGCCAGAAGCAGCCUACAUGUUGCAGCAGAAAGUGAUCAAUCAAAAUCUCCUGACAUGCUAACAAUUCCUGAAUCCCCUGUGCUUGUAACGACUAAAGGAACCAAAUCAGGUGUUUCAUUCCGGUUCCUACCACACUAACUCUGGUUUUGUACUCAAAGUAUCACAAAGCUCAUCAACUCUUAUGCAAAAAUUCUAACGCCUUAAGGGCUGUUCCCACGGGACUACUGUCCGAAAAAUAUUCACACAAGCACCUACAAGUGGGAACUGUUUAUUCGUGAUCUAAGAAUGACUGGGUUAGGUGCUGCCUUCUUGUGGUUCUCAGGAUUAAAUAUCCUAAUCCUGCCGUAAAUCAAUCUGAUAUAAGCUAAUAAGCCUUCCUUCUUUCUCAGCAAGGUAGACUUUGGCUUGGAAGUGUUUCCUCACUUUUUUUUCUUUUUUAAAAAUUAAAAACUUAAAUAGAAAAUAGAAAAAAAUGGCCAUGGGUACAGCAGAACACGAGAGGAUUCAAAAUAGUUAAAGAAAUUUCCAUUUUAAGAAAUCCUAUAUAAUAAAUACUACAUGUUGUGUUCAA
Sarcophilus harrisii (Tasmanian devil) is the source of this 757-nucleotide long non-coding RNA. RefSeq lists it as uncharacterized. Lineage: Eukaryota; Metazoa; Chordata; Mammalia; Dasyuromorphia; Dasyuridae. The transcript has 3 exons. The record is from RefSeq and is a predicted model, not a curated record.